Drosophila subpulchrella is the source of this 972-nucleotide long non-coding RNA. RefSeq lists it as uncharacterized. Lineage: Eukaryota; Metazoa; Arthropoda; Insecta; Diptera; Drosophilidae. The record is from RefSeq and is a predicted model, not a curated record. The transcript has 4 exons.
UGGUUCUGGGAAUCUACCACAAAGUUCCUCACAUCGCUACCAUGGCCCUGGUUGUUGACUCCCUCGAGGCUAUACUGUUCUUAGAUCGGAUCUAGCUGGAUGUGUGAAAAAAGUGUGAAACGGCAUUGGUUGCAGAUGAGGACAAGUGAAUGAUCCUGCCUUCCCUAAAGGGGUCGUAAGAAGGGGAAAGAGCUACUAUAAACUGUCCCAUCCUACACGGUGAACUGAUCUGCGGCGCUAUUUCUCCAAUGGACUGUCCUGGACCUUGGAACAUGAAACAACAUUUAACGAUUAACACAAAACAAUGACAGACUCGACUCUCCCCAGCCUCGACUCAGUCGAGGUUUGGGAGUCAAGGAUGUCAUUUUAUUUAGUAACCAAAAAUUUACGUUUCUUCACCCGCCAUCAUCUUUUCGACCUCUGGAUACAUCUCAACCGCCGUUCGUCAGUCAAGGACCCCGAAGAAUCAUCCGGAAGCUUCUGAGACUCCUGUUCUUAAGAGACUCAGGACUCCGGAUUUCGGUUGUAUUGGCGACUGCCUGAAGAAAAAGGAUAUUUUUUGCGUCCGCCCGACUGUUGCUCCUUUAUCUCGAUCGCAAAUCUUCCAGUCUGCUUGGACUAGCUGAUGUCGUCGUGCAAGAAACAAAAUCUUUCUGCUGUUCGCCUACCGGUCAGACGAGGACUUCAAAAAGGUCUAUGGGAAGAGGAAAAUCCUGUUGGAGCCUGGUGCGUUCCCAUUUGUAUUUGAAAAAUUGGGCGCCAAUAUUGUUACGUCCCAAAAUAGGACUACGUGUGUCCGCGAGUGAGCAUCGCCGGCUAGCUGUAGAGCACUUGGGGUGUGGGUACUCCAACCCUGCCCACACACGCAACAAUAAACAAACAGAUGAUUGUACUUUACAACACUUCACGCUGCAACAGCUGUCUUACUACUGGGCCAAAACAUCGACGAAGUGUGCACAGCUAUAAGACUAA